CCUACGGGGGGCAGCAGUGGGGAAUAUUGGACAAUGGGGGCAACCCUGAUCCAGCCAUGCCGCGUGUGUGAAGAAGGCCCUCGGGUUGUAAAGCACUUUCAGUGAGGAAGAACGCCUGGUGGUUAAUACCCAUCAGGAAAGACAUCACUCACAGAAGAAGCACCGGCUAACUCCGUGCCAGCAGCCGCGGUAAUACGGAGGGUGCGAGCGUUAAUCGGAAUUACUGGGCGUAAAGCGCGCGUAGGUGGCUUGAUAAGCCGGUUGUGAAAGCCCCGGGCUCAACCUGGGAACGGCAUCCGGAACUGUCAAGCUAGAGUGCAGGAGAGGAAGGUAGAAUUCCCGGUGUAGCGGUGAAAUGCGUAGAGAUCGGGAGGAAGACCAGUGGCGAAGGCGGCCUUCUGGACUGACACUGACACUGAGGUGCGAAAGCGUGGGUAGCAAACAGGAUUAGAUACCCGUGUAGUC
RNAcentral lists this ribosomal RNA (465 nucleotides) under Vreelandella stevensii. RNAcentral describes it as "partial 16S ribosomal RNA". It matches the Rfam family "Bacterial small subunit ribosomal RNA", at positions 338 to 795 of the family's 1533-position model. The record is from RNAcentral. Lineage: Bacteria; Pseudomonadati; Pseudomonadota; Gammaproteobacteria; Oceanospirillales; Halomonadaceae.